CACCGUGCUUCUGUGCAGCAGAUGGACUCCAGUGUCACUGGGCAGCAGACCCUGCUUUGCUGACUUAGUACAGUAUUUAAUUAUCCUACUGGGGAGAGGUUAAGAUAUUUUAAAUAUCUAAGUUGCAGCAUUGAGGCUUCCACACUCAGCUGCUGUGAGCAGCCUUGGAGCAGGCAUUCCCUCUGUCUGUGCCUCGUGCCCAGGAAAGGAGGGAAGGAAUAUGGAAAUACACCCCAAUUAUGUAAGUUUGAAACUGAGCAUCUGACUCAGCAGAAGGAUUUCACUUGUCAGACCUGCUUCUUUUGUAUAGAGAGAGAGAAGAAAGAUGCUAAAGCUGCCUGAAAUAGAUCUUUUCAUACAAUUUUUAUUACUUGGAGCUGAUAAACAGAAUUCAUGGUUUCAGUCCACUACCCUCCAAUAGGAGUAACAAUUAGUGUUAUUUGCUUACCACCAUGCAGUCAAGUACAACCACAUAAUUGCAGAAAGAGGAGAAAAAUGGCACAAAAAAAUUCCCCAAAUCUGGGAGAAAUUUAAAUCACAUGGUUAUGCUCAUAGUUUGGAAGAACAUGUUGUUAUUAGGACAUUUUUGUUUACUCUUCCUUUUGUGCCUUGUCUUUCUUACAUCCUUUACAGUAAUUUAAAUUACAUUAUUAGUCCACUGUGGCAGAGAAUGUGUCUCACAAUGCUAAAGCAUUACACUCCAGGGCUUUUGUUCCUUCUUUAGGGUUUAGUCUCAGCAGUUUAAGAAAGUAGUCCACUGAUCACCCUCCUGUUGAAAGGUAGCACUAGCUCGGUUACAGAGUGAUGGUGAAAAUACCAGCAUACCUGGACAAACUGAACUAGAAAUUUUUUGUCAGCCUUUAUUUUUUAUUAUUUUCAGUUUGUCCAUGCUCUCCUCUAGACUGGGCAACACUUAUUGCUCCUUGACACUCGCUACUCUGCAUCAGACUCCAAAUAACUCUGAGUGUAAUUCUCUAAGUAAACUUGGUCUAGUGAGUACUUCUGAAAAAAAAAAAAAAUCCUUUUCCUUUGAUUCCAACUGAAAGACAUUGUUUUUAAAUGCUCCCAUGCCAGGGGAAACCCAGCUGCAGUCACCAGAACUGAGUGCCAGAUAAAAUUGCGUUAUCUGUGAAAUCAGGUCGUAAGCAUUCCAAACGGUCCCUGAAAAAGUACAUGGCUGGAACAUAACUGGCCCAAAGCUGUCUACACAUCGCUCUUCUGCCCCUGCAGCACAGAAAGGCAGCUGCUCACCUCCCAUGACAACGCUGCACUUUUCCUGAGGCAAUGAAAAAUACUCAGAGGAAAACAAGGCAGCUUUACCAGCGGAAGGAAGAGCUGAGAAGCUGCUCUGGGCACGGCCUGGGCUCUCUGAGUGGGAGGAAAGCAAAACCUGAGCACCUCCUGGCUAGCUGGGCACAGCCUGCUAGGGAGGCUGAGCCCCACGAGAAAAUGAAUCAAUGGCUGUAAAACUGAAAUCCUUAUCACAACAAGUGAGGCACGAGGGGACAAAAUCAGUCUGCUUUUGCAACUUUCAUCUUGUCAUUUUCCAUUUUGCGUACUUUUGACUUUGCACGCUUUGUUCUUUUUCUUUGUUAAGUACAGGGUAUGUGAUUACCCUCUGUAGAAAUGAUAAAAAGGCAACCUGACGGGUUAUUCUGUGGGAUUUUUCAGAUGUGAAUGCAGCAGAGAUACAGCUGAUAAGAGCCACCACACUUGUUUGCACUAGUGCAGCCACAGCAAAGAUAAAAAUCUCAGUGUCUCGGCUUUUACCCAGGUCGCUGAAUUGUUGGUGUAUUUGGAAGAGGUGGAUGCCUCCAGUGACCUAUGGAUGUGCUGCACACAUCUGUGCCCUGUGCAAGGUCAAGUGCUCAGAAAGAAGCCCAGACAGCUUCGUUAUCCUGCCUGGCUCAGGAAAUGUGGACACAGAGCCAUGAGGAGUGAGCAGGACAUUGGAGUGAUGGAGAGAAAAGAGGAGUGACCCACGUGGUUUGCAAGGGAUGGAGCAGCAGCACUGGACUACUUUGCCUGCUGUGGUAGGAACUCAGACUGGUGAUGGAUUUUGAUCUGACAGCCUUCAGCAGAUGAUGCUCUAAUCUCCCUUUGGCAUCUCCCUGCCAAUUGUCAAUGCAGCCAUGUGCACAUCUGAGAGCAAAUUUUCUAGGACAGCACUCGGAGAUCCAGAAGUGCCAUGUUGUGCCAGAAAUCCCUGGUUUCUCAGUCCAGGAGCCCAAAGCAGCUGAAAGACCUUCCCAGAGCCAUGAGCACGGGGCUUGUCCUACUGCUGGGAAAUGCUUCUGCAUGGUGUUCUUUCAAGCAGACAUCCAGAGCUGCACUUUAAAAUGUCACUCAGAAACGUUCUGUGCCUGCAGACAGAAGGGGGGAGGUGGUGUCUGCCAGCUGUUGGGUUGCUCUGAAAGGCUGUUUUGUCCACUGUGAAACCCCCUUGCCCUCUCCAGAGAUGCAGGUCCCUAAAGGAGUUACCACACCAGAGAGAAAAAUGUUCACCAAUGCAGAGCUGCCUUCCUUGUCACGUUCCUGCUUGGCUUGUUUAGGCAUUUUUGAAGCUCCUCUGAACCCCCACCCAGUGUUUUGUAGGGGCCUUAACACCGAAAAUCAGUCUCAUCAUGAGCCUCAGUCCUUCUCCUACCAGCUUUCAGUAACAGUACAUGGAAAGCAAAUCCAAAUCUUUGCCACACCAGAAACCAGAGCUGCAAAGCUGUCCUAUUGUUUCAUAGCCUACUUUUAUUUUUGAGCCUUCAGACCUGUGGCACGUCCUCUGCAAAGGUUAAAUUCAAAAUUAACUGCACAAGGCGGGAAAGGAGGAAAGUCUGUCUUUCGGCAUACUUGAGAGUCCCCAAACCCCUCCAAAACAAAAUGGAAGUGUCUCUGGUUCAAGGCAGCCUACACGGCAGCGAGCUGCAGGAGUUGUAAGCUAUUAUUUUAGUUCCCAAGAAAAGUAAUUACUAUAGCAACCAACACAUCGCUCUUUGGCUGCUGCCGAGACACAAACAACUUGCACACAAAGGCACAUCAGAAACGUGCUGUGCAAAAUGUGCUCGGGUAGCUCUGUGUUUUCGAGAGCUCUGCAAAAUGUGCGUAACAGGCUUCUGAGAAAUGACUGCCAGAAUAACAGCAAGCAAUUGUGCUGUGCCACGAUCCCAAAAUAACCUAAUCAAUGGCUCAGUAGCUCAGUAUAUUUGCCCCUGAAGAGAUGAAGAGAUGAAGCAAAAAAAAAAAA
Catharus ustulatus (Swainson's thrush) is the source of this 3238-nucleotide long non-coding RNA. RefSeq lists it as uncharacterized. NCBI's taxonomy places the organism in Eukaryota, Metazoa, Chordata, Aves, Passeriformes, Turdidae. The transcript is spliced from 5 exons. The record is from RefSeq and is a predicted model, not a curated record.